GAGGAAAAGAAACCAACAGGGAUUGCCUCAGUAACGGCGAGUGAAGCGGCAACAGCUCAAAUUUGAAAUCUGGCCCCGUCGGGGUCCGAGUUGUAAUUUGUAGAGAGUGUUUCGGGUGACACCACGGUCUAAGUCUAUUGGAACAUGGCGUCAUAGAGGGUGAGAAUCCCGUAUGUGACCGUGGCUCGAGCCCAUGUGAAGCCUCUUCGACGAGUCGAGUUGUUUGGGAAUGCAGCUCAAAAUGGGUGGUAAAUUUCAUCUAAAGCUAAAUACUGGCUGGAGACCGAUAGCGCACAAGUAGAGUGAUCGAAAGAUGAAAAGCACUUUGGAAAGAGAGUCAAAAAGUACGUGAAAUUGUUGAAAGGGAAGCGCUUGCAACCAGACCUGUCCGUAGGUGAUCAGCCGCUGUUCUCAGCGGUGCACUCGCUCUGCGAUCAGGCCAGCAUCGGUUUCGGCGGUCGGAUAAAGGCCUUGGGAAUGUAGCUUCCUUCGGGGAGUCUUAUAGCCCUCGGUGCAAUGCGGCCAGCCGGGACCGAGGACCGCGCUUCGGCUAGGAUGCUGGCGUAAUGGUUGUAAGCGACCCGUCUUGAAACACGGACCAAGGAGUCUAACAUCUAUGCGAGUGUUUGGGUGUCAAACCCAUGCGCGGAAUGAAAGUGAACGGAGGUGAGAACCCUUUAGGGCGCAUCAUCGACCGAUCCAGAUGUCUUCGGAUGGAUUUGAGUAUGAGCAUAGCUGUUGGGACCCGAAAGAUGGUGAACUAUGCCUGAAUAGGGUGAAGCCAGAGGAAACUCUGGUGGAGGCUCGCAGCGGUUCUGACGUGCAAAUCGAUCGUCAAAUUUGGGUAUAGGGGCGAAAGACUAAUCGAACCAUCUAGUAGCUGGUUCCUGCCG
Molecule: ribosomal RNA, 893 nt
Filed under: Usnea rubicunda
Lineage: Eukaryota; Fungi; Ascomycota; Lecanoromycetes; Lecanorales; Parmeliaceae
Description: LSU rRNA
Rfam family: Eukaryotic large subunit ribosomal RNA
Source: RNAcentral